Molecule: long non-coding RNA, 212 nt
Filed under: Elaeis guineensis (African oil palm)
Lineage: Eukaryota; Viridiplantae; Streptophyta; Magnoliopsida; Arecales; Arecaceae
Description: long non-coding RNA (EGUI_LNC043607)
Source: RNAcentral
CGGCCAUCGGUGCAGCCGUUUGCGGUGUCUCACCCUUAGGAUGGGACUCUCACCUCUACCUCUCUUUCCAUGGAGGUCUUGGCCGCCGGUGAUCGGCCAAUGACCGAAAAAUAAAAAGAAAAAGGGCGGAUCUCCUGUUUUCUCGAAAACUUUUCUCCCAUCGAUCGAGCCUUGCUGCCAGCGAUCCCUUACUCUUCGUUGUCGGCCGUCGC